Molecule: ribosomal RNA, 396 nt
Filed under: uncultured bacterium
Lineage: Bacteria
Description: partial 16S ribosomal RNA
Rfam family: Bacterial small subunit ribosomal RNA
Source: RNAcentral
UGGGGAAUAUUGCACAAUGGGCGCAAGCCUGAUGCAGCCAUGCCGCGUGUGUGAAGAAGGCCUUCGGGUUGUAAAGCACUUUCAGCGAGGAGGAAGGUGGUGAGCUUAAUACGCUCAUCAAUUGACGUUACUCGCAGAAGAAGCACCGGCUAACUCCGUGCAAGCAGCCGCGGUAAUACGGAGGGUGCAAGCGUUAAUCGGAAUUACUGGGCGUAGAGCGCACGCAGGCGGUUUGUUAAGUCAGAUGUGAAAUCCCCGGGCUCAACCUGGGAACUGCAUUUGAAACUGGCAAGCUAGAGUCUCGUAGAGGGGGGUAGAAUUCCAGGUGUAGCGGUGAAAUGCGUAGAGAUCUGGAGGAAUACCGGUGGCGAAGGCGGCCCCCUGGANGAAGACUGA